AUUGAACGCUGGCGGCAGGCUUAACACAUGCAAGUCGAGCGGGGGAAGGUAGCUUGCUACCGGACCUAGCGGCGGACGGGUGAGUAAUGCUUAGGAAUCUGCCUAUUAGUGGGGGACAACAUCUCGAAAGGGAUGCUAAUACCGCAUACGUCCUACGGGAGAAAGCAGGGGAUCUUCGGACCUUGGGCUAAUAGAUGAGCCUAAGUCGGAUUAGCUAGUUGGUGGGGUAAAGGCCUACCAAGGCGACGAUCUGUAGCGGGUCUGAGAGGAUGAUCCGCCACACUGGGACUGAGACACGGCCCAGACUCCUACGGGAGGCAGCAGUGGGGAAUAUUGGACAAUGGGGGGAACCCUGAUCCAGCCAUGCCGCGUGUGUGAAGAAGGCCUUAUGGUUGUAAAGCACUUUAAGCGAGGAGGAGGCUACUUUAGUUAAUACCUAGAGAUAGUGGACGUUACUCGCAGAAUAAGCACCGGCUAACUCUGUGCCAGCCGCCGCCGUAA
This 501-nucleotide ribosomal RNA is filed under the name uncultured bacterium. RNAcentral's name for it is "partial 16S ribosomal RNA". It matches the Rfam family "Bacterial small subunit ribosomal RNA", at positions 30 to 523 of the family's 1533-position model. The record is from RNAcentral.